GGUAGUAUAGCUCAGUGGCAGAGCAUGCACUGAACAUGUGGGAGGCCCAGGGUUUGAUCUCCAGCACUACCA
RNAcentral lists this transfer RNA (72 nucleotides) under Marmota monax (woodchuck). Its description in RNAcentral is "tRNA.Val". Lineage: Eukaryota; Metazoa; Chordata; Mammalia; Rodentia; Sciuridae. The record is from RNAcentral.